RNAcentral lists this ribosomal RNA (253 nucleotides) under uncultured bacterium. RNAcentral's name for it is "partial 16S ribosomal RNA". It matches the Rfam family "Bacterial small subunit ribosomal RNA", at positions 524 to 776 of the family's 1533-position model. The record is from RNAcentral.
UACGUAGGGUGCAAGCGUUGUCCGGAAUUAUUGGGCGUAAAGAGCUCGUAGGUGGCCUGUCGCGUCGGCUGUGAAAACUCGGGGCUCAACUCCGAGCUUGCAGUCGAUACGGGCAGGCUAGAGUUCGGCAGGGGAGACUGGAAUUCCUGGUGUAGCGGUGAAAUGCGCAGAUAUCAGGAGGAACACCAAUAGCGAAGGCAGCUCGCUGGGACGGUACUGACGCUGAGACGCGAAAGCGUGGGGAGCAAACAGG